Molecule: unclassified non-coding RNA, 200 nt
Filed under: soil metagenome
Description: partial contains internal transcribed spacer 2 and large subunit ribosomal RNA
Source: RNAcentral
GUGUCAUGAAUAAUCUCUAAUCAGGGUUUCUGAUUAGGGGGAUUUGGGGUGUUGCCUUCUGGCUCGCCUUAAAUGCAUUAGCGUGGUGUAUAAGUUUCGCCAGCAGCUAUCCAUUUCGUUUACUUGUAAAUGAAAACGGGAAAGGGCAACCGAGUACCAUCUCAGACCUCAAAUCAGGUAGGACUACCCGCUGAACUUAA